GACUUUUGGUUUUCUUCAUCUAGAGUCUAGACGCCUCCUCCCUCUUUAGAUUUUCGAGUCUCGGGAGAAAACCCAACUUUUAUCUGUAAAAAUCGAUUCUGCCUCUUCUUAGCAAAACUAAAUAAGCUGCAAUUCUGAUGAUAUUUGUGAUGAAACACUCAAAGCCAAAUACCCAUCAGUUUGCCUACAAAAAAAUAAUUUGAGUCUUACAAUCGCUGUUCAUGAUUUGAUUGAGUUUUGAUUCUUCAUUAUGGAUGAUCAUGAUGGAUAAGGUGGGAUUCAAGGUUAAUGAGGAGGUUUAUGGGCGUUUUGGAGUGAAAACUUUGUUUGUACUGACGGGUACCCUGCACAUGGUUUGAAUUAUCAUUUAGGGCGUUGCCGGUUGAAUUAUCACCUUCUGUUCUCCAGGCUCUUCGGGAACAAAAUUGGGGACAGGCUUGCAGCAGUCUUGAUGAAGAUCUAUAAAAGAUUUGUUCCCAUGUCAAUUAUCAUGCAUUAAGAUUCAACUAACCUAUAGAAGAACUUGGUAAAAAGUGGUAAUGAGAAUGUCGUCUUAUUGCUAGAUCAUGUGCAAUCUGCAAGGCAGUGGAAAUCGAGCUUCAAUAAGAGAUUUAAAGAACCGGAUAAGAAAGGCAUACACAUAUUGUGGAGGAUGGCAAUUUUUUUUGUUUGAUAUGAUUGCAGAACUAGAUUUUUCAAGGUUCAUAGCGACCCAUUAUGAAUUGACAUGUAAUUUCUGUUGGAUUUCUUAUGUCUCGACCGACGGUGAUUUAUAUUAAGCCGGAAGUGCUGCUGGAAAAGGCAUUUGUUGAAUUCUUCUGUCCUGUUCACAUCAGAAGGUCUAAUGCAGUCUGUAAAGUGAAAGAAAUUAGCCAUUAAUUAGAGUGAAACUAAAAUUGGGAAGACAAUUACUCCCAGUCUCUGCGUGGUUAUGCUUUUUUAUUUUGGAUUUAGAAAGUUUUUUGAAUUUUCGUCAUAUUUUGGGUUUAGAACGUUUUUAAAAUCUUGAUCUGUCAGUAUCUCACUUUGAGGUAUCAUUUCUGUAAGCUAACAGUACAAUCACACCAUAUUUUGAAAA
Long non-coding RNA from Papaver somniferum (opium poppy), 1078 nucleotides. RefSeq lists it as uncharacterized. The transcript is spliced from 3 exons. NCBI's taxonomy places the organism in Eukaryota, Viridiplantae, Streptophyta, Magnoliopsida, Ranunculales, Papaveraceae. The record is from RefSeq and is a predicted model, not a curated record.